RNAcentral lists this ribosomal RNA (253 nucleotides) under uncultured bacterium. Its description in RNAcentral is "partial 16S ribosomal RNA". It matches the Rfam family "Bacterial small subunit ribosomal RNA", at positions 524 to 776 of the family's 1533-position model. The record is from RNAcentral.
GACGUAGGGGGCAAGCGUUGUCCGGAAUUAUUGGGCGUAAAGAGCUCGUAGGCGGCUUGUCACGUCGGAUGUGAAAGCCCGGGGCUUAACCUCGGGUCUGCAUUCGAUACGGGCAGGCUAGAGUGUGGUAGGGGAGAUCGGAAUUCCUGGUGUAGCGGUGAAAUGCGCAGAUAUCAGGAGGAACACCGGUGGCGAAGGCGGAUCUCUGGGCCAUUACUGACGCUGAGGAGCGAAAGCGUGGGGAGCGAACAGG